UCUGGCUCAGGAUGAACGCUAGCUACAGGCUUAACACAUGCAAGUCGAGGGGAAACGACAUCGAAAGCUUGCUUUUGAUGGGCGUCGACCGGCGCACGGGUGAGUAACGCGUAUCCAACCUGCCCACCACUUGGGGAUAACCUUGCGAAAGUAAGACUAAUACCCAAUGAUAUCUCUAGAAGACAUCUGAAAGAGAUUAAAGAUUUAUCGGUGAUGGAUGGGGAUGCGUCUGAUUAGCUUGUUGGCGGGGUAACGGCCCACCAAGGCAACGAUCAGUAGGGGUUCUGAGAGGAAGGUCCCCCACAUUGGAACUGAGACACGGUCCAAACUCCUACGGGAGGCAGCAGUGAGGAAUAUUGGUCAAUGGACGAGAGUCUGAACCAGCCAAGUAGCGUGCAGGAUGACGGCCCUAUGGGUUGUAAACUGCUUUUAUAAGGGAACAAAGUGAGUCUCGUGAGACUUUUUGCAUGUACCUUAUGAAUAAGGACCGGCUAAUUCCGUGCCAGCAGCCGCGGUAAUACGGAAGGUCCGGGCGUUAUCCGGAUUUAUUGGGUUUAAAGGGAGCGUAGGCCGGAGAUUAAGCGUGUUGUGAAAUGUAGACGCUCAACGUCUGCACUGCAGCGCGAACUGGUUUCCUUGAGUACGCACAAAGUGGGCGGAAUUCGUGGUGUAGCGGUGAAAUGCUUAGAUAUCACGAAGAACUCCGAUUGCGAAGGCAGCUCACUGGAGCGCAACUGACGCUGAAGCUCGAAAGUGCGGGUAUCGAACAGGAUUAGAUACCCUGGUAGUCCGCACGGUAAACGAUGGAUGCCCGCUGUUGGUCUGAAUAGGUCAGCGGCCAAGGGAAAGCAUUAAGCAUCCCACCUGGGGAGUAC
Molecule: ribosomal RNA, 875 nt
Filed under: uncultured Bacteroidota bacterium
Lineage: Bacteria; Pseudomonadati; Bacteroidota
Description: bacterial SSU rRNA
Rfam family: Bacterial small subunit ribosomal RNA
Source: RNAcentral